Molecule: long non-coding RNA, 2506 nt
Filed under: Taeniopygia guttata (zebra finch)
Lineage: Eukaryota; Metazoa; Chordata; Aves; Passeriformes; Estrildidae
Description: lncRNA (ENSTGUG00000027632.1)
Source: RNAcentral
UUUUUUUUUUUUUCUUUUUGUCCAGCUCAAGGAAGAAUUCUUAAAUGAAAGAAGAAAAGCACAUUUGCAAAGGUCACAUCGACGGAUUUUGAAGUGCAGUGGCAGAAGAUGACUUAAAUGAGACUUGAAUUCUGUGUUUCCCCACCAACAGUGUGAAAUAGAUGCAGCAAUCUGAUGUUUCUGCAGCGUGAGCAGUGUCAGCGUUUGAUGUUCGGGUGUUGAGUCACCGAGGGCUCACCUUUCCCUCCGGAUGACACCGUGACAGCUGCAACCAGCAGGUGCCUGAGAGCUGGCAGUGCUUUGAUUUCAAAAAGAGAGGGUUGCUGGCACGGCAUUUUCACAAGGAGUUCCUUCUCAGCUCUGCAAGUCCUUUCACUUCUUCGCUCAAUGGGACCUUGAUUUGAUAACACUGGGAGCGUAUCACAAACGGCACAUCUGCUCUGCCAGGAUGAGCCGUGGGACUGAGCUGCAGAGCUGCUUCCUGGGGAUCCCACUUGCUUUCAGCUUCAGUUUAUCUGUGAGCUUACCCUACUAAAUUAUCAUUAGAAAUUCCACCUCUUGUGAGGCACACGGCCUUUUGAGCACACCUAACAAAACAGAAGAUGUUCCCCUCUGCUGUGCUUCGCUGGGUGUGGGGCACUGAAAGGCUGAGCAAACCACAGACCUCAGGGUGACCUUAUCACUCUCCACAGCUCCCUGAAAGGUGGCUGUGCUCAGGUGGGGUUGGGCUCUUUCUCCAGCCAGCAGUGACAGAACCAGAGGACAAAGUCUCAAGCUGCACAAAGGGACAUAUAGGUUGGAUAUUAGGAAAAAGUUUUUUACAGAAAGAGUGAUAAAGUUCUUUAUCUUUAUCUCCCUGGGCUGACCCAGGGAGGUGGUGGAGUCACCAUCCCUGGAUGUGUUUAAAAACAGACUGGAUGUGGUGCCAGGGUUUAGUUGAGGUGUUGGGGCUGGGUUGAACACCUCAGCUUGAUGCUCUUGAAAGUCUCUUCCAACCUGGUUAUUCUGUGAAUUCUGUGGUUGUUUCUGACUAAGCAAAAGCAAGCACACAGAUUUCUCUACACCAGUUCAGCCACACUCGGUUUUUCCUGUGACCUGAGUCACAGUCAAGCAUUUAUUAUGUGACAUUCACAGCGAGAGUGGCAGAAUAAAAACAGGCUAAGAAACCUAAUCCUCAGAGGAGAGCAGUAUGUUCCCACUUGGGGUUUAGUCUCGCAGUGAAGAGGCUGUUAAGGGGUUUGUGAUCCUGGAGAUUGAUGCUGGGGGGAGCCUGGGUAGAGCACAGAGCCACUGGCAGUCGUCAGCUAAAGCUGCCUGAUGAUGGCAGCUGGAGUGGCCAGAGGAAUCCUCUCCUCCAAGGAACCCAGAAGAGUUUAAGUGCUUCCAGAAAUGAAUCCAUUAGAUGCUGAUGGUGAUGGUGAUUAGCAAAAGGUACCGUGAUGACUUAAAGUAUUUCAAGUGUCAUUCAGACUGAAACCUCUUUCAGGUGAAAAGUGUUGGACACAUCAGGACUGAGCUGCAGAGACCGAUUUGGCAGAUGUGGCAGCAAAUCUGGGCAUGGAUCUCACCACUAUGUGUGAGCAAAUGCUACUGAGAGAAUUCUCCCAUUUCCUUCUCAUUUAAAAAGUCUUGACUACUUUCUGUUGUAGUGAAGGUUUUCUAAUUAUUUGAAUCUUAUGUUUCAAAUUUAAUCCAAAAGUUAGGUCAUGGCAUAAGCUAUGGCAAAAUCUGUGUGGUAAAGGGGUUAAUUUGACACUACAGGGAUUUGAGCUUACAGCUUGAGUGAUUUAAAACACUGGAGCAACCUGGUCUAGUGGAAGGUGUCCCUGCCAUGGGAGGGGUUGGAACUGGAUAAUCUUUAAGGUCUCUUCCAACACAAACCAUCUGUGAUUCUGUGACACUGUUGUCCUCUGUAUUCUUUGAGACUCUCUGUACAUCAUCCAGCCACCAAAGUGAGAAUUUCUUCACAUGUGGUUAAAUCCACUUAUUUCUAGACAACCCUGACUUUCUUCAGUAAUUUAUUCUUCUUGGUAAAUAAUGCCUGCAAUCCUUGCAUAUUGGUCAAGCAUUUUUGGUCAAAGAGGUUGAAUAAACAGCCACGAAUCCUGCUGGGCAGCUGAACCAUCCCAGCACUGGCCCUUGAGGAAAUGAUGUUUGAGCAAAUGAUGUUUGUCAGGCAAAGUGAUUAAAGUCAGAUUUUAGAAAUUCUGGUCGUAUCACUCCAGUCCAUCUGCGUCUACCCUAAUGCACUGCAAGGGUGUGCCUGAAAUUAAAUUAAGGACGUGUACUCAGUCUUUCCCAAACUAUUUGUGGAACAGCAAUCUGCUGCUGGAGCCAGGUCCAGGACAGAAGUGCCUGUUAACCCUAAGCUGUAAGAUGAUGGUAACAACAUUAUGACUAGAAAAAUGCAGAGGAAAAUAAUGCUUAGUAUCAGAUGAGCUCACAGAUGUUGCAGACAGUAAACAAAAGGGGAAAUUAUAACCCAGUCAUUACAUUUUCACAAUGA